Molecule: unclassified non-coding RNA, 148 nt
Organism: Papio anubis (olive baboon)
Lineage: Eukaryota; Metazoa; Chordata; Mammalia; Primates; Cercopithecidae
Rfam family: Metazoan signal recognition particle RNA
About the family: The signal recognition particle (SRP) is a universally conserved ribonucleoprotein. It is involved in the co-translational targeting of proteins to membranes.
Source: Ensembl
GCCAGGUGUGGUGGUGCACACCUGUAAUCCCAGCUACUCGGGAGGCUGAGGCGGGAGAAUUGCUUGAACCCAGGAGGUGGAGGCUGCAGUGAGCCGAGAUCGUGCCUCUGCACUGUAGCCUAGGUGACAGAGCAAGACCCUGUCUCAA